UACGUAGGGUGCAAGCGUUGUCCGGAAUUAUUGGGCGUAAAGAGCUCGUAGGCGGUUUGUCACGUCGGAUGUGAAAACUCGGGGCUCAACCCCGAGCCUGCAUUCGAUACGGGCAGACUUGAGUUCGGCAGGGGAGACUGGAAUUCCUGGUGUAGCGGUGAAAUGCGCAGAUAUCAGGAGGAACACCGGUGGCGAAGGCGGGUCUCUGGGCCGAUACUGACGCUGAGGAGCGAAAGCGUGGGGAGCGAACAGG
Molecule: ribosomal RNA, 253 nt
Filed under: uncultured bacterium
Lineage: Bacteria
Description: partial 16S ribosomal RNA
Rfam family: Bacterial small subunit ribosomal RNA
Source: RNAcentral